This 290-nucleotide ribosomal RNA is filed under the name uncultured Corynebacterium sp. RNAcentral's name for it is "partial 16S ribosomal RNA". The record is from RNAcentral. Lineage: Bacteria; Bacillati; Actinomycetota; Actinomycetes; Mycobacteriales; Corynebacteriaceae.
CUACUCGGGUAUCUAAUCCUGUUCGCUACCCAUGCUUUCGCUCCUCAGCGUCAGUUACUGCCCAGAGACCUGCCUUCGCCAUCGGUGUUCCUCCUGAUAUCUGCGCAUUUCACCGCUACACCAGGAAUUCCAGUCUCCCCUACAGCACUCAAGUUAUGCCCGUAUCGCCUGCCAUCCCACAGUUAAGCCGUGGACUUACACAAACGACGCGACAAACCACCUACGAGCUCUUUACGCCCAGUAAUUCCGGACAACGCUCGCACCCUACGUAUUACCGCGGCUGCUGGCAC